GGGCCCGCACAAGCGGUGGAGCAUGUGGUUUAAUUCGAUGCAACGCGAAGAACCUUACCAGCCCUUGACAUCCUCGGAACGACCUAGAGAUAGGUUGGUGCCUUCGGAAGUCGAGUGACAGGUGCUGCAUGGCUGUCGUCAGCUCGUGUCGUGAGAUGUUCGGUUAAGUCCGGCAACGAGCGCAACCCUUAUCCUUAGUUGCCAGCGAUUCGGUCGGGGACUCUAAGGAGACUGCCGGUGUCAAGCCGGAGGAAGGUGGGGAUGACGUCAAGUCCUCAUGGCCCUUAUGCCCAGGGCUACACGCAUGCUACAAUGGCCGGUACAGAGGGCUGCAAUACCGCAAGGUGGAGCGAAUCCCAAAAAGCCGGUCUCAGUUCGGAUUGAGGUCUGCAACUCGACCUCAUG
RNAcentral lists this ribosomal RNA (405 nucleotides) under uncultured bacterium. Its description in RNAcentral is "bacterial SSU rRNA". It matches the Rfam family "Bacterial small subunit ribosomal RNA", at positions 917 to 1322 of the family's 1533-position model. The record is from RNAcentral.